RNAcentral lists this ribosomal RNA (426 nucleotides) under uncultured Comamonadaceae bacterium. RNAcentral's name for it is "bacterial SSU rRNA". It matches the Rfam family "Bacterial small subunit ribosomal RNA", at positions 356 to 774 of the family's 1533-position model. The record is from RNAcentral. Lineage: Bacteria; Pseudomonadati; Pseudomonadota; Betaproteobacteria; Burkholderiales; Comamonadaceae.
GGGGAAUUUUGGACAAUGGGCGCAAGCCUGAUCCAGCAAUGCCGCGUGCAGGAAGAAGGCCUUCGGGUUGUAAACUGCUUUUGUACGGAACGAAACGGUCCUGGUUAAUACCUGGGGCUAAUGACGGUACCGUAAGAAUAAGCACCGGCUAACUACGUGCCAGCAGCCGCGGUAAUACGUAGGGUGCGAGCGUUAAUCGGAAUUACUGGGCGUAAAGCGUGCGCAGGCGGUGAUGUAAGACAGAUGUGAAAUCCCCGGGCUCAACCUGGGAACUGCAUUUGUGACUGCAUCGCUGGAGUGCGGCAGAGGGGGAUGGAAUUCCGCGUGUAGCAGUGAAAUGCGUAGAUAUGCGGAGGAACACCGAUGGCGAAGGCAGCCCCCUGGGUCGAUACUGACGCUCAUGCACGAAAGCGUGGGGAGCAAACA